GGGGAGAUAGCUUAGUGGCAGAGCGUGUGCUUACCAUGUGCAAGGUCCUGAGUUCAAUCCCCAAUAUCUUCA
Molecule: transfer RNA, 72 nt
Filed under: Camelus bactrianus (Bactrian camel)
Lineage: Eukaryota; Metazoa; Chordata; Mammalia; Artiodactyla; Camelidae
Also listed under: 1 other name
Rfam family: tRNA
About the family: Transfer RNA (tRNA) molecules are approximately 80 nucleotides in length. Their secondary structure includes four short double-helical elements and three loops (D, anti-codon, and T loops). Further hydrogen bonds mediate the characteristic L-shaped molecular structure. tRNAs have two regions of fundamental functional importance: the anti-codon, which is responsible for specific mRNA codon recognition, and the 3' end, to which the tRNAs corresponding amino acid is attached (by aminoacyl-tRNA synthetases). tRNAs cope with the degeneracy of the genetic code in two manners: having more than one tRNA (with a specific anti-codon) for a particular amino acid; and 'wobble' base-pairing, i.e. permitting non-standard base-pairing at the 3rd anti-codon position.
Source: Rfam by way of RNAcentral